AAAUGACAGUGAUGUUAACAGCAAGAGUCAGGAUCAGGUUUGUGUUUCAUGGAGUACGAGGAUGAACAGCAUGAAUGCCAAGGUAAGCCAGGGAGCAGGAAUCUUUAUUAAAAGGAAGGUGAAAGACUCAGAAAUCCUGAUGCAGCUUGUUUGGGAGGGGCAAGAGUGCUGUGUAAGUCUUCCUUCUUUUAAAGGCACAAAAGAAGAAGUUGAUCAGCUUCUCUUGAUUGGUU
Molecule: small RNA, 233 nt
Filed under: Marmota monax (woodchuck)
Lineage: Eukaryota; Metazoa; Chordata; Mammalia; Rodentia; Sciuridae
Source: RNAcentral